GACGAACGCUGGCGGCGUGCUUAACACAUGCAAGUCGAACGGAAAGGCCCUGCUCUUGUGGGGUGCUCGAUUGGCGAACGGGUGAGUAACACGUGAGUAACCUGCCCUUGUCUUUGGGAUAACUUCAGGAAACUGGGGCUAAUACCGCAUAGGAGCUCCUGCUCCAUGGUGGGGGUUGGAAAGUUUCGGCGGUUGUGGAUGGAGUCGCGGCUUAGCCGCUUGUUGGUGGGGUAGUGGCUUACACAGGAUUUGACGGGUAGCCGGCCUGAGAGGGUGACCGGCCACAGUGGGACUGAGAUGCGGCCCAGACGCAUACGGGAGGCAGCAGUGGAGAAUAGAGCACAAUGGGCGGAAGCAUGAUGCAGCAACGCCGCGUGCGGGAUGACGGCCUUCGGGGUGUAAACCGCUUUCGCCUGUGACGAAGCGUGAGUGACGGUAAUGGGUAAAGAAGCACCGGCUAACUACGU
Molecule: ribosomal RNA, 467 nt
Filed under: uncultured bacterium
Lineage: Bacteria
Description: partial 16S ribosomal RNA
Rfam family: Bacterial small subunit ribosomal RNA
Source: RNAcentral